UCUGCACAAAAUAAGAGGCAAAGCAUCCUUUGCAGCAUGAGAUGUACUGUAUUAGGAGGAGAGGUACUUACUGCUUAGAUGCUUUUCACAUUCAAAGCACCUGAAAGGUGGUACAUAGUAAAAGUGAGAAUUAAGCUGAUGGAUGUAUUGGUGAUGUGUGGGUGUUUUACUGGGCAGGGCCCUUAACUCAGGUGCUGGGAGUUGUGAUCACAGCCAGCUUUGGAUGGAGGUACAAAGCAGGUACAUUAAGGGAGACUGGCUGUGGUUUGGGAGCUGGAAGCUGUGCUCCCAGCCCAGCUGAAAGCUGUGGAAUCCCCUGAGGAUGCUCAGCGUGUGGGUACUCCUGCCUUGCUGUGUGGAAAGGGAGUCUGGCACUGAGCAGAUGGUGCGGGCACACCACGCACCUGUUGCAUGGGUGAGAGGAGGCUUCACACCAUGUUCAGGUGUCACUGGGUGCUCGCUUGAGCAGAACAUCACUGGCUUUCUGUUCUGGGUAAUGGGUGUGGAAUUAUUCAAGAUUAGGCUGUUAAAUACUUGGAGCUGUCUUGGUAACAAGCUGUGAUUUUUAUUAUUCUUCACUCCAUGGUGACUUUUGAUAGCUCUGAGUAAAGUACCCACAAUAGUCAACAGCACGUGAUGAGGAGAGGGCUGAGGGCCAUUCAUUUUCACUGAUGGGAAGUUUGGAAAUGCCUCUUAGGCAGCUUGAUAUUUUUAGCACCUGCAAGAUAGGCAUAUUUGCAAUUCCCUCUUUUAUCUGUACUGUGGAAGGACCAAAAAGUCCCAACUAUGGUCUUGUCUUUGUAAAUGCCACAAAUAAUUUAUUUCAUCUCUCCUAUACUGAUGCUGCUGCUGUACCCUGAUUCCCUGCUACUGCCAGUCUAAGCAAGGCUGCCAGGAUACACCUGAAUGAAAAGUUACCUAAAUCUAGCUAGAAUGGACUCUGUCUCAGCGUGCAGUAGACAAAAAGUGAAAUUUCCCAAGCACUUGAGGAGCAGCUGCAAUGUUUUUGAUGCAUAUCUAGGCACAUAACUCAGACUGAAACUUAACAGCAAGGCUUAGUCUCCUCACAAGAGCCUUUUAAAACUUGUUCUCAGAAUCCAAUAUGGAUUACAAAUCAUUAGAACAGAUGAGGAGGGAUCCAGAAUGGAUGAGGCACUGGUAAAACUAGAUUAGUUAGAAUAUAGAAGAGAUCUAAAAGCAGGAACAGCUAGGGAGAUUAUUAGCUCAAGAAGAUGAGAUUAGAUAGAGCAGCUCUUCUUUUGCUACCCUGGCUUUCCUGUUCAGUCUCCCAGCCAAAAACAGCUUGUGCAACAAUGCCAAAAACCAAAACAUUCUUCCUCUAGGCUUGAAAAUCUGGCAGCAUUUGAAUUUGUCCAGAACUCUGCCUCCAUCCCAGCCUGCCUGUCUAUACAGAGAUGGAAAAAGGGGAGGAAGGCAAGGGCUAGCGGUUAGCAAGGGCUCUGGUCCGAGUUCUUUUCUAGAGUUGGGUGUGAUGGGUGGAUUCUUGCAGAGCUCAUCAACUUUAGUUCUCUAGAGCUAAAGAAGAGGGAGAGAGCCCAGGCAAAAUCACUCAGUGCUUGGUUUUAUUUAUAUUUCUGCUCCACACCAGCAGUUGCUGGAGGAGUUGACCCUUUGGGUAUCUUGCUUAUUGUUCCUGGAGGUUUUUAAUGUUUGUUUUUCCAGAAGCAAUAAUUCCAAUGGAUGGAAAUGCAGUUACAGCUUCUUAGAGCAAUUAACUCAUUUGCUUUGGUCCACACUGCUGGAUAUUACUGCUAACUGGAAAAUGUCAUCCAUUUGUUUAUAUUAAGGAAGAAAAGUGAGAGAUUUGCAAAGAGAAGGCUGCAGUGAGAUUGUUUGGUCCUAGUGGGCCUUAAACUAUUCAUCUAACAGGAGUGAGUUGAGCGCUUGCAGGCUCCACAUGUAAACCGUGUAAUCACCUUGUUAACACACUUUCCAGCAGUAACUUCCCUGACUCUUGCCUGCUUUGGAAUAUUCAUGUGCUCAUGCAUCAUUUUAAUGAACUUAUCAACACAUUCAUAAGCUAUUAAUUAAACAUUUAUUAGUAAUUAUGUUUUGGGAUCGCCCGAUGCAUAACUCCUGGUGUUAUAAAUAUGACAUCUCACCCCUGCAUUUCACCAGCCCAGUCCACAGGGUGAGAAAGACACAGCUGAAAGAUGCAAGGCUCGUUCUCCCCCAUCCUACCCAGCCUGCACCCGUAUCUGGCUCAGCUCUUACUAAUCGGUGUAUUCUGCUUCCCUGGACAUCGUGGAAAUGAGCUGGUAGGAGAAAGCAGAAUUCACUGGGUGAUGGCCCACAUUACCAAGGCAAAUGCGUGUUGUGGGGCAGCAGCGUGGAUAGCCAUGGCAGAUUCUCGCUGCAAAUGUUACAGGGAUUUCCAGAUGAGAAUUAAUGGACUUCCCUUGGCUAGCGUAGAAGAAAAUGUUCUACGUGUGGUUGUUUAUUAUUUCUGUUACAGUCACUGUACUUGCUUAUUGCUUCCAUCUGUUGGCAUCAAACUAUUGGCUCUUGUCUUAUCACUGGGAUGUAAACCCUUCACAGGCAGGGAGCAUGGUUUGGCGAGAGGCAUAACAGAAGCGCCCAAGAAAUUUAGGUGCUUAAAGACUGGGAUGCUUUGGAAUCUGUUCCAGAGAGGAACUCAGGUACUUUAUUCCCGGCGGUUUCAUUCAAGAAGAAAUAUGUUUGUUGGCCAAAAAUAUUAAGUGCAUCAAUUUUUGCCCUUCAAGCCUUGAGAAGUCGUUGCUCCAGACCAUCGUAUCUCCAGUUGGUGCCUCAGGAGAUCAUUAGCUUUGUUGUAUGGUGUUCCUGGGGAACUGAUUGACCCAGACCACAUCCUGCUUAAAGAAUACUUAAACUCCUACUUGGGCAUAAUUUGUUUUGCUUAUUCUUCUUUGCUGCCCCUCCUCUUGUCUGCUGCCAGAUUAGACAGGACAGGAUCAAGCAGGCCAACUGGGAGAUCCAGAAUCAUCAUUAAAAAUAAAGCUCCUGUCUUCCCUGUUCUCCAGGCCAUGUCUGGAUCCACCAACAUUGUUACUCAAAGGAGUGCAGACAGAUUUAGAGCACACCAUGGGACCCGCUGGUGGCUAGUAGCCCCACAAACAAAACUCUCUUUAUCUACUGCAGGCAAGCACUGGCUCUCCACUGGCACCAGGAACCCACUGGAUAAUCCCGUGCAGGUGGCCUCAGCUUUGAUGCUUUUACGUGGCAAUUUGGAUGAAUUGGCAGGAACGGGAGAUGCUGCACUAGGUCGUGUGCUGUUUUAUAAAUUUUAAUCCUCGCUUUGAAUUUUCCAGCAGAAUGGAUUUUGCUCUACCUCUGGGCUGGAGGGAAACUUCUCUUCGUUACCCUGGAAACGUGAAGACGACAGAUCCAUCGUUCAUCAGCGAGAGGGAGAAGAUGAGAGGGAAAUAGAUGACAAAAAAGUAUGGGCAGGGGGAAAGACCAAGGGAGUAGAAGAGUCUUUCAGAGGAGCCAUCUUCACCUACUGCAUCAAGGCUGGGAGCCUGGAGUGCUCAGGCUAUCACCAGUGGUCAGGAUUUCCCAGCACUUCAUCAGACCUCCCAUAGCAGAAGACUUGCUGGAGCAAUUUUGCUUAAUUUUGACAAUAAAGCAAUGGGUGAUGGAUUAAUGUUAAUAUCUCCUUGCUCACUUCCCAGCUCUGGCAGCCUGGAAUCAGCUCCCGCUUUACAUAUUUAAUCUUUUACCUCCUUUAAACCUGGGAUGUUGCUAUGCAGAGGACACCUGAAGGUCAAAGAGCCGCUCGGUGACGGAAUGGCCAAGCUGCAGGACAAGAGCAAGUGUUCCUAUACUAUAGACGAGAACAGGAGGAAUCCAGACAUACCCGCUUGGACACCACCUCCCCUUCACAGGGAGCCCAUGAGGACAUCAAGGCAAUUCACCUGAUUAAAGUCAGGCAUAUGUUUACAUCUCCUGCUUAAUUGGCUUUGUGAGGAAGCCAGUAAGUUAUUCUUGUCCAAGCAGCCACAGAAGAAGCUGUAACACCCAGUGUGGGCAAAUACACACAAAGCACAGAAGGGUAGCAUAGGGAUCAGACUCCAAAUGCCCAUGCUACUCUUGCAAGCAGCUGGAAAUCAAAUAUGCCCUUGGCUACAGGUGAAGUCAGAAAGGACAUGCUGGCUGUCCCAUCCCUGGAGCUUCAGAGCACAGCAGAGGAGUUGCCUUUUCUGCAUUGUGGAGUCUGGCAUAAGAGCUGGUGGCAACCUGAAGCUCACCCUGGGUCUGUGCAGUGGCAUACCUCCAUCAAGAUACAUAUUCACGCUGCAGAGUUUAAACUUAGGACAGCAAUCUACACUCAGCUCUUGCGUUACUUGGUGUUACCAUGUGUCCUGGAGGGUAUAGGGCAAGGAAGUCCACAGUGCCAGACUCCCAUCUUUUUACUGUGUUAACUGAGAGCUCUGGAGAACAUAAACCACUCUUCGGUGUCUUGGUGAGGUCUGAGCUACAGUUAAAGGGAAAAGAAAGCAGAUUUCUGCCCUUCCCACUGAACUUCAAGGAGUUAGACUCAAGAAUUAUUUUUUUUCCUGCUGGAAAUUUGAGCGAAGAGCAGGUGAGAAAGGACACUUAAAGUCAGGAUAUUUAGUUCCUGCCCCCUGUAAGAUCCCUGUGCUCACCUCCUGUUUCCAUGCCUUGAUGAUAUUACUCCCCCUCCUGCACUUUGUCUCCCUGCCACCCUCCAAAGCACCAGCUCAUGUUAAUCUUCUCUUUCCUUGCUGAGUUGCGAAGUGCUUAAAGGCAAGGGCUCCAUUUUCCUGCCCUGAUAAAGUCCCCUGUGCUCUAAUGGCGCCAUGCAAAUAAAUACAUGAUAAUAAGCAGUAGCCUCUCAUCCACACUGCUCCCAGGGCCACAGAGAGCCUGGGGCUUACCCCAGAGUUUGCAGGAGUGCCAAGGAGAAGUUAUGUUCCCCUUGCCCUGUGAGGCUCCGUCCUCCUCCGUCUGUUCUCCUCACUACCUCGCUGUGCUCCUCCCUGGUCCCCUAGUAUUGCCUUCAUGUCUCCAAGUUUCUACUUGUCAUAGCCCCGUGUCCCUCUAUUCACUACCACCAUGGACCUCCCAGCACUGCAGUUCUGUUCACAGCCUCAGUUCACCUCUAAAGCAAGCCUGAGGAAGAAAAGAAAAUGGAAAGGAAGUACUUCCCUUGAAGCAAGAAGAUAACCAGCGUGAGCCAGGUAAAAGUUGUUGAUUUUGUUAAUAUUCGAGGAACUGUAUCUACUAAGACAUGUAGGCUGCCAUCGGAGGCGGAGAGCUGAGCUGGCUGGAUUUUAACUUGCCACUGCCAUCUGCGGGGCUGUUGUUGCUAGUAGCAAAGCCAGGCCAUCUCAGGAGGAUACUGAUCUAUGUUACAGUAAUUAUCCUCUUCCCCAAGGAAGUUUGCAGUCCCUUUUCCCUCCCUCACCCUGUUGCUGGAGCAGUGUCAGUGUAGCUGCCAGGCAGAGUAGUGGCAGCAAGAGACAAGUGUAGCAAACAGUAUUUGACAGUGUGUUUUGGAUGCAUUUCAGGUGAAAGCACAAAAAACCCAAGCGUGUUUGAUCCUGGCUGUACCUGCCUUCCAUAUUCAUGUUUGUGCGCCUCCAUGUCAUUAUGAGAUUAAAGCAUCAUUAAGCACACAACGAAAGCCUUUGAUAACACUCUGCCCCGUGCUCCUCCUUGCCUUUCUUUUUUGCAUUUCUCCCGCCCAUCCUAUUUCUUUUUUUUUUUUUUCCCUAGUCUUUUUCCCCCUUCCUUCUUUCUUCUCCCCAGUCAUUUCAGGGAUGCUUUGGAGUAAUACCUCACUGAGAUACGAUACAGUUGAAAGGACUGUAUUCUGACUAUCCUUUAUACCAGUGUGUAUAUCAGUUUUAGCGUAACAGACUGGAGGCAGUGGCAUCCAGUGCAAAUCUGUGCCGCUGUAUCCAGGUCCACAGAGGCUCUGCCAGCCUGGGAGAGCAGAGGACAUGCUGCAGCUAAGUUGGUGCAAAGAGGGUGGGGAACACAACCAGGUCCCCAGUGUAGAGUUCUGGUGUAAAUCCAGGAGUUACGCAACUGACAUUGGGGAAGCUGGUUCAGAUUUACACCAGGGUAUUAGUGAUCAGUAUCUGGUAUUCAGCACCUGCUUUGCAACCCUGCUACUGAGAGCUGCAGAGUUUCAAGCAGCCGCUGUAGAAUGCUAGUAGUAUUUUUAAUAAGGGUGCUGAGACCAAUCUACUCCUGUAUGGCAAACGUGACAGCAAUUUAGAUUGAAAGCCUCUGUUUUCCAGGCAGACGCUCAGCCAGUUAGUGCAAACAAAAAGGCACUUGUAACUCCAGUUCUUUAAUCUUACUCUUUGCUUCAUGAUAGAUAAGGCGUCUUGACAUCAAAUUGCACUAAUGCGGUCCUCUGAAGAUUAGCACUGUGGACAAUGCUUGUCGUCUGGCUUUCCCUGAUAUGUUUUCUGAGUGUAGCAAGGUCCAGUGGUCAAAGCAGGGAUGCUGGUAUGGAAAAUGGGCUGUUCUCGUACUCUCCCUGCCUCUGACUUCUAGUCUGCCAGCAGCUGACCUUGCCUCUUGGUUUUUGCAGUUGUAAAAUGGGCAUAAUAGAGACUAAUUGCUGAUGGAUGGGGGGGUGGGGCAGGGCUGGGAGAGCUGGUUGGGGGAUGGCUAAUGAUUAUUGGCUUGAAAAUUACAGAGGAGAGAGGGGAAGAAACAGAAGGAAGGUUUUGCAGUGAGUGUGGGAUGCAGGAGCUGCUUCUCUAGAGAUCUCAGAGCUUUUUUCUACAGAUGGUCUCAUUCCUCUCAUUUGAACAAAGGGGCAAAAAAAUAAAAGGUCAAGCAAUUUGCCCAAGGUCAUAUGAGAAGUCUAGGAAUGAACCCAAGUGUUGCAGGUGCUGCCAGCCUGCUGUAACCAGUGGGUUGUGUUGCCUGUUCACAGGCUGUAAAAGCUGUUGAUGCAGACAGAAACCCCACCAUGUGUUUCAGUUCCCAGUACCAUGCAUUGGGCAGAGUUGGGAGUCACUUCAGCAGACCCAGAGAAGCAUUUGAGGGGGAUGCAAUGGCUGCACAGCAGCUCUGGUUCUGUGUAUUAUCCAGUGUAAUUAUCCAAGGACCAUAACGCCUGGGCUAAAUUCUGUUGCUAGUUUCUCUCCAAGUAAAGCCAGAGCAGCCUGUGGGGGGGGAUGCAGACUUGCUGGGAUGGGUGUGAGAAAAUGACGGGAGCCUGGAGCCACUGUGAUCCUCCCAGGCUCUGCAGCAGGAAAGAGUCCACCUUCCUAAGGACUCUUUCAAGUACCCCAGGCAUAAAAAACAGCCUGAAGUCCACCUGGAUCUGCCAUGAGUCUGUGGUUGAACCUCUGCUGAGCCCAAAGCCCUGGGCUUUGCUUUUGUUGGUCACUCACACCACCGGAACAAAGUGGUUGGGCUCAGCCCUCACCCUGAAUGGGGCUGCAUGGGUGCUCCUCCAUCCCAUGGCUCACAUCCACCCUCCAGAGAAGCUUCACUGCUUCCACAGAGGUGGGCCUGUCCUAGUACAUCAACCCACCUGCUUGGCAUUGAGUGAUUUAGCACUGAAAAUGAAGGGGACUCACCUGGACUGUCCUGCAGCUCCCAAAAAUCCCAUGCUGUGCAUGGUGCCGCAGAGUCUCCCUUCUGCUCGGUGCAGAGGGACCGUACCCUGACCGCACUGCUGGGCCAAAAUGCAGCAUCAGGGAGGGGCAGGUAUGAGUACUGCUCUGACACCACACUGCAGUCAUCCAUGACUCCAUCAGCACCAGAGGAGACGGGACAUGCGGGAGCAAUGUCAGCCCAGCAGGGAGCUCACAGCAGCCUCUCUGAGAUCAAACUGUAGAAGACUGGGUAAAAUGGACAGGAGAACAGAAGAAAGGAGGAAGAUGUCUCAAGUCAAUUGCACCAAGAAAAACUCUGCAUGAGGUGAAGGAACUUCACAGCAGAGCCAAGGCAGAACAGGCAGCUGAAGUCGAGAAGCAAAUUUGAGCCCUGAGGCCAGGAGCAGCAACCAGCCCUGCAUGAGCAGCCACAAAAGGAAGGUCCCAUCAAGUGGUGCCCUGCCACGGAGAGGUGGGGAAGGCAGUGGGUUAAACAUGCAGGCCUGGGACCGUGCUGCAGGUGUUAGAUCCUGACAGUUCCCUGCUGUGGCUUCCUCUGGAGAGGCCUUGCUCAGCCAGCUCUUGGUGGAUGAAAACAGCAGUGGAUAGACAGUGAGGGCUCAGUAGCCUCACAGGUACUGCUGCUUACCCAGCAGCAAAGACUGCUGGAUAAAACACCUCUGAAGUGAGGAACCUCUCUGCACACUGCGGAUGCAGGGAGCUCAGAGGUGUCUUUUAGACUGACUAUGUCCUGAAAGUUUGCAGUUAUUAAUUCUUUGCCUGGGCAAUGCAGGCAGGCCACAGACUGGGGCAGCUGUAGCCAAAUCCUCAUUGCCCUGACUGGGGCAAAUCCCCAGUGCCCUGGCGUUGAUAGCUUUGUGUGUGAGUGAGGGCAGUCUGGGGCCAGGCCCUGCUUGCCCCUCUCCCUGGCUGCCAGGCUUCCAGGGACGGGAGCAGCUCUGUUCCUGCCUGCAGGGACCAUCUGUGGGCAUGUAGCUAUUGCCAGGCAGGCGGUACCAAAGGAUUCCUGUGCUAGCAAGAGUCUUUUGUUGCUGUUGUUUCAAAGUCUUUGAAAUGCAUGUUUUGUUUCCUUGUUCUGACAUGACAAAGGACUAUUUUAAUUGCUGUGUAUUAAAUCUGUUCAUGGGGGAAAAAAUGAAGGACUGCUUUAGCCUGCUGUUCUUGGGGAGCUGGUCUGUUAUCAAUAGCCUCUUUCUACCAGAGUUCAGCAGGCGAUGGCUUCAGCCUCGUCAGAGUCAGUGGUGGCAUAUUCCCCAGCCUAUAUUCCCUGGGUGUGGAUGUUCAGCCUCAAAGGAGGAUAUAUAGCAAUGCAAAGGGCUGAUUCUUCCCUCCUGUCCCUCCCCUCCUCCUGACAGCUUGAAGAUCCCUGACUUAGGGUACUUCCCUUUCAAAUAUUUUCAUGCCAAUAUAAACAGAGCUGCCCAGCUCCUGGUAUUCUGGUGUGCAGGACCCUUGUGCCAGGCUACAAAGCAGGACAGGCCAGUGACACCAAGCUGUCCCUGGGAAACGUGGUUUUGCAGCACUUUCCCUUGGCUACGACAGAGCUCUAGCUCUGUCCGACGCUGGGACUGCCCACACCUGAUCGAGCUGGCCGGAAGAUUGCAGGGGCAGGGAGAGAGGUGGGUGUUGCGGUGGAGCUUGCGAGGCAAGGGACCAAGAGAGUGACUCAAUAUGUGAAACCUGACAGCUCUGUGUCAAGGUCUGGCCACAGCACAGAGCCACGGAGGGGAACGAGGCUCAUCAAAUUGAGCCUGGGAAGGUUUCCAAAACCUUGUCUUCACAAGCCAACAGUGUGCAGGUUUGCAUAAAUAUCUCUAAAAUUCAUCAAACAGUUCAAAUGAAAUACACUAAGGAAGGAACUAUUUCUGCAUUUAAAUCCACACACAGUUACUCCUCUGUCUUUGAAAUCCAGCGAUGCCCGCCCCUCCAUCAGCCUAGGAGCAAGGUACAUUCCAGAUGGUUCCCCCAUCCUAAAAAACUGCACUGCACAGCCGAUUAAAUUCUGCUUGUUGUAAUUAAGCCUGACACAAUUAGCUGUCAAGCAGGGCACUCAUCUGUUUUAUGUUGCAAUCUCUUCAACAGGCGAGGCUGCUAGACAAGAUUGUCACUUUUCGAAAAGAUUUUCAUUAGUUACCCUGGGCUCUGUGUCAGGCUAUGAAAUAUAAAAAUGUGCUCUGUAGCCAAGUCAGGGAAAUUCUCAUUUAAUGGUCCACACAGUAUUAUGAAAGUAAUGUACUCUGAAAAUGAAUGCAUUUUGGAACAUUUUGGAAGAAAUGUAAUUUGUCUGCUAAGUAAUAACUGCAUGUUCAUGAAUUUACUGAUUUUUUUCAAUAUGCCUUUCGUAAAGUUGAAAAGACUUGUUCUGACCUAAAAUGAGAGGAAGAGAAACUGUUGAUUUUAAUGUUACUCCUUCCUCCCUCCCUCUCCCCCUCCCUCUUUCUUUCAUUCUUUCUUUGUUUUCCAUCACUUCCGUGCACCCUCAGUAUAAGAACCAGGCACUGUCUGAUAAAAGUGGAAGCUUGGCAGAGAAGAAAUACGCAGCCAAAAUGGAAAAGACAGAAAAUAAUUGCGGUCGGUGAGGAAUGAGGGAGCUCCAUCUUUCUGUGUCUUUAAGAACAAAGAGCAAGAAAUCCCCUGUUGCUCCUCACAGUUCAACAACCAGCAUCUGUCAGUGGAGAUGCAAUUACAGUUUUCCUGUUUUGGUGGGACUUUGAAUUUUCUGCAUUGCUAAGUCAGAGGCUAAGGGGGGGUCAAACACACAGAGUUGCGGGUGCUUCUCGCCACCAAAAUUCAGACUUGCAAUCAGAAAAUAAGGAAGAAUUCCAGGCUGGCAGAGCCUUCUCCUUUCCUUAUAAAUACAUCUGGACUGUAGGACAAAUGCUUUGACCCUCUCUGUCUGGUGCAUUGCCUCUCUCUGCUCCAGUUCACUCCAGUGCUGAAGCAUUCGUGACUCUGGGUUCAGAUGUGAUGGUCUAAACUGGGGAUCAUGCACAGCCAGGGAGAUGGGGGCAGAGCUGAACGGCCAUGGAAAUGCUGCCUGAGCUUUCCAUCAGAAGAGAAGUGGUGUUGAGUUACUGGGUUGAAUCAGGCAGGAAUUUGGUAGGGGGCAGAGAGGAAAAUGAAAAACCAGAUAAGUGGAAACCAAGUUGGGAAAAAAAGAGGAAAAUAGGUGAGGAAUUACAGUGAGAAUUGGGACUGUAGUCACAACUGGCAUGAGUGAGCUCAGCAAGCUUCUGCAUUUACUUAAGAUGUGAUUUUGAUGGUUGCAGGAUGACACGGUCCAGACCUGGGUGAAGCUGAAGCAGUGUUGUCACUGCAUCCUGCCAAGCCAUGGUUAGAAAUUAUUCUCCUCUGAUCUGUUAUUACCCCCACACUUGUGUAUUUACGUGGCCCUGUGUGGCCUUGAACAGGAACAAGUAAAGAGUGGCAUAUAUUACUGUCUUGAUAUAUCUGUACAAAUUGGGCUUGUCAGUUUAUACAUUGAGAUGAAAUAUAGUUUUCAGAUCAUAAGAAGUUACGUGCUGAAGUCUGAACCCUGCUGCGACAAGCAUUACCCAGCUUUGUUUGCUGCCUGUUACUGGCCAUUAACUCCCCAGGCAGACUCUCUUAUUCAGAAUUCAAGUGAAUUUAAUCAGGCUUCGUUUACCCUCCUUGGGAAGGAAUAAAGUUCAUCCAAAUUAACACCACUUAUCUCCAAAUAGAAGCACCCCUACAUGAGGUUCAGUGUGCAUUUCAAUGAUUUGUCUUUUAUGGCACACCUUCUCCACACUCAGAUUUCCUUUGCAGUCAGACCUUUUCUUGAAAAAGGCUCUCACUUUCCCAGAGCAGUUCUGGAAGUUGUCUCAUUCCUUCCCUGGGUGUCUGCACAGGGCUGGGAGCUUGGGGCUGAAGUGGAGCCUGGUCCAUUAGCAUUCCACCACAGAAGGAGGUCAAGAAAAACUCAUCCAGAAGCAUGAGGAAGGAGCAAAUAAAAGCAGAGCGGGUGAGCUGAAAAAAUUGUCUCUUAAUUGAGCUGGGUGAGAAGGACUAGUGGUGAUUGCAAGGCUUGUAGGUCUUUGUUUAUGAGAGCUGCCUUCCUGCGAUCUGUCUCCAUGGGAUAGAAGCAUCCAAGCUACCUUGAGAGAGCGUCAUGCAGGGAGGAGCUGAACCAGAGUGGCUGUAUGCAAAACAUGUGGGGUGCAUGGCUGUGUGCGCGCUGCUCCAGUGCUGUUUCCAAACACUGCCAGCACUUUUGGUCCAAAAAGCAGAGUACUAGGGCUUUUCCUCUCCAGCAUGUUCCCUUCCUUCAGCCAGGGCAGGAUCACCAUGGAGUAGCACAGAACAAAGGGAGAGCUUGCCCUCAUACCCCAGAUGCUGAUUUUUAAAGAUGGUCACAUACACCAUAGUGUGCAUGGAUGGGGCAGAGCAAUGUGGAGUCACAGAUCGUUUGCCAUGAUGACAACCUUCAUAAACAGAGUAAAUCUAACAUGUCUGAGAUAGGAGAGACCCAGGGUGUCUGUGCUGGAGAGCUCAGCUGCAUGUGCAUGGGGGCUGUUUGACCAGGUCUCUGGACAUCUGCUCUCCACCCUGAGCUACUGCUCCAGCCCAGCUGCCAAAGCUUUAACAUCCCAGAGAAAUGGCUAGCAUCCUUUUUUAUGCUGGGAUGAAAUGCCUGGGCAGAAAGAGAGGGUCUGUGCAAGAGACACAGAUGGAUAGCAGCUCUGCUCCAAGUCCUCUAGCUAUCUCUUGAGCAAGCGGUGAUCAGUCUGGCGGAUGCUGCCCUCAGCACCCAGCUUCCCCCGCAAGCUGCUUGCUCCAUGUAGGUCCGGGGCUCGCCGUGUGGCUUGGCUGACGCGGGCACCCAGGGGGAUGCUGGCUUUGCUGCUGCAAGUGGCCAGCACGUAGUGGGUACAUGCUAGCAGGGGCUCUUGGCUUGCUGCAACUCGCUGCUUUAUUGCAAAUAGCUUUGGCUGUAGCUGCUGUGAUAACAGUAAAACCCAACCCCCCAAAAUCCCUUCCUGCUCCAUUCUCUAGCUGUAUCUGCUGCUGGCAGAAGCUGUGCCAGCACCAGGUGCAAGGGGCUGCUCAAUGAAGGGUACAAUGAACCCCAGGUCUGAUUUUUUUGUGUCUGUUUAACACUUUCCUCCCUCCAUUACUAUUUGUCAGUGGGAAUCCCUCCCUUCCUGGGUCAUCAAAGUGAGGGGUAUUUUCCCAUUUUGUGAGUGUCUUAACGCUGGGACAAGAGUCAGGAAGAGGUCAAUGAACGAAAAAGGUCCCCAGGUGCCUCCCUUUUCCCCACACCGCUGCUGCUCACCACAGGCUGGGAUGAACAGGCAGCUCCAUUUAGGUUCGUGCUUGCAUUUGGUUUGGGACAUCACAUAAGUGGAGGCCUCAGCAUUUACACCUGUGCUUGAGUUGAAGCCCAUGUGUAAGGAGACUCACAGCCUUUUUUGUUCCUCCUCAGCAUCUGUCUGAUGAGAGCCAAAGAGUCCUGCCAGUCCCAUCCAGUUUGUCGCACUGAGCUGUUGACCGCUGCACAUCUCUGCGCUGGUCACAACUCCCUGAUGCAUUCAGAGCCUUCAUUAGGUUUCACUGAAACCCCACAUUGGCAAAGGUUUUUCUGGAGUGACCUCCUACACAUCACAAACCACAGGUAUCACCCCAGUUCUCCAAAAAUAACCUGAAGGGAUGGAAGAGAAGCUCUCUGUUGUCUUUCAGGUGUCUGUGGAGACCCACAAAAUGUGUUCUCCCUGCUUGAUCCAUCCUAUUACAUGACUGACGGUGCUUGGACAUGGUGGAGAUUGAUAGCAUUGAGAUCGGACUCUGGUCAAGGAAUUUGAAAUCUGAUUUGAGGCAGUUUCCAUUGUGUACAAAACCAGCCUCGGCCAGAUCUUGAUCUCAUUUGCAUUGGAUGAAAACAAUUGUUUCAAAUGGAGCUAUGCUGGAUUUAUAAUUGCAUAAAUGAGAGCAGAAUCUGAUCUAUUCCAAGGGAGGAUUUCCCAGGGUGUUGCCGUGUGAGAACACCCCUGCCAUGGUGAAGUGAUCAGGUGCUUUGCCAUCGAUUUCAAUGGAGAAUUUUCAUCUAAGUUCUGGACUGGAGCCCUAAGCUUGACAGCUGCUGCUUCACCCACACCAAAGAAGCCACCAUUUCGAUGGGAUAUGAACAGACGUUGCUGACUCUGGAUCUUACAAGGUACUGUACAAGCUCAGCCAACCCUUAAAACACUGGCCUCCUAACUGCCAGCUGUAACACUUUAUAAACAUGGAUAUUCCACCCCAGUUCUCAAAGAUAAGUUUUGCUGUGAAAACAUGCAGUUUGAUUCUUUGUUACCCAAGGCCUGGGGAAGUGCAAAGCUGAUACGCAGUA
Falco peregrinus (peregrine falcon) is the source of this 13959-nucleotide long non-coding RNA. RefSeq lists it as uncharacterized. The transcript is spliced from 4 exons. NCBI's taxonomy places the organism in Eukaryota, Metazoa, Chordata, Aves, Falconiformes, Falconidae. The record is from RefSeq and is a predicted model, not a curated record.